GGAAUGGUGGGCUGAACAAAGACAGCUAUUUAUCAGGGCCAAAAUUUUAUCUUUUUGCACAGGUUGAUUUUCCAUAUCUCUAUUUCCCUAACACAACAAACAGAGUCAAUCUCGCAUGCACGCACAUGCGGCCUGUGUAUUUUAAAGUUACAUUUUGUAUCCAUGCUAUGACAUCAUAAAAGACAUUGCUUGCAGAUAAUAUGUUCUCAUCAAGUU
Molecule: unclassified non-coding RNA, 216 nt
Filed under: Hevea brasiliensis (rubber tree)
Lineage: Eukaryota; Viridiplantae; Streptophyta; Magnoliopsida; Malpighiales; Euphorbiaceae
Source: RNAcentral